CACGCCUCGGUAAUACAGAGGGUGGGAGCGUUAAUCGGAAUUACUGGGCGUAAAGCGUGCGUAGACGGUAGCGUAAGUCGGGUGUGGAAGCCCCGGGCUCAACCUGGGAAUUGCAUUGGAGACUGCUCGGCUAGGGUGCGGAAGAGGGAAGCGGAAUUUCAGGUCUAGCGGUGCAAUGCGUAGAUAUCUGAAGGCACACCAGUGCCGAAAUCGGCUUGAUGGUCCAGCACCGACGUUCAGGCACGAAAGCGUGGGGAGCACACAGGAUUAGAUACCCUGGUAGUCCACGCCAUAAACGAUGAGAACUAGACGUUGAGGGGGUAAGCCUCCCAGUGUCGAAGCAAACGCGAUAA
This 353-nucleotide ribosomal RNA is filed under the name uncultured soil bacterium. RNAcentral's name for it is "bacterial SSU rRNA". It matches the Rfam family "Bacterial small subunit ribosomal RNA", at positions 511 to 863 of the family's 1533-position model. The record is from RNAcentral.